GCAUUCACUUCGGCAACACAUAUACUAAAACUGGAGCAACACAGAAAAGAUUAGCAAGGCCCUGUGCGAGGGUGACACACAAAGUCGUGAAAUAUUCCAUAUUUCA
Small nuclear RNA from Nannospalax galili (Upper Galilee mountains blind mole rat), 106 nucleotides. Lineage: Eukaryota; Metazoa; Chordata; Mammalia; Rodentia; Spalacidae. The record is from Ensembl.